Molecule: ribosomal RNA, 253 nt
Filed under: uncultured bacterium
Lineage: Bacteria
Description: partial 16S ribosomal RNA
Rfam family: Bacterial small subunit ribosomal RNA
Source: RNAcentral
UACGAAGGGGGCCAGCGUUGUUCGGAAUUACUGGGCGUAAAGCGCACGUAGGCGGAUACUUAAGUUAGGGGUGAAAUCCCAGAGCUCAACUCUGGAACUGCCUUUAAUACUGGGUAUCUCGAGUCCGGAAGAGGUGAGUGGAAUUCCGAGUGUAGAGGUGAAAUUCGUAGAUAUUCGGAGGAACACCAGUGGCGAAGGCGGCUCACUGGUCCGGUACUGACGCUGAGGUGCGAAAGCGUGGGGAGCAAACAGG